GGUUGUUAUCACAGUCUAGACAUUGGACAAACCCAAACUUUACUGAUACAACCAUUCACUGCUGCCAUUUAAAUAUCAUUGUUUAAAGGUCAUCAAGGGCCUUCAAUAUAAUUUAUUUUACAGUAACUGUAUAAUUAGAUUGUAUUGACUUGUGUUUAAUAGAUUAUUUGGGGAUAUUAACUGCUGUCAGUAAAAUUAGUAAUUAACCUUAGCAAAUUGAC
Molecule: non-coding RNA, 221 nt
Organism: Pelobates cultripes (western spadefoot toad)
Lineage: Eukaryota; Metazoa; Chordata; Amphibia; Anura; Pelobatidae
Source: the annotation of a GenBank genome assembly